GGCAGGGAGGACCAGCCGUCAGUCUGACACAACUGGCAUGUCUUCUGAAGGGAAAGGGAAGAAGUGGGUGAGUCAAAGUUAGCAUAAAAUUAGAACAAUCCCAGGCAGAGAGGAGGAAGCCAAGAAGUAGAGGUAUUCAAGAAAGACCAUCAUGAAUGAUCUCGAAAUCCCAGUAACCAUUUUAAGGUCCUAACUUAUGAAAAUUGGCAAGAAAAUCAUCCCUUGUAAUAAAGAUUAAAAAAGAAAGAAAAAAAGUUCACCCAAACUCACCUACCCUUCAACUAAGUGACAGUAUACACAAUGUCCUUCCACCUCUUCAAAGACCAGAGAAAGGGAAAAACUGAGGCCCAGAGUGGGGUUGGAGUAAACCAGAGCUGUCAAACACUCAUCAUGCUGCCACCAACACUCCUCAGUAUAGAG
This is a long non-coding RNA of Vombatus ursinus (common wombat), 420 nucleotides long. RefSeq lists it as uncharacterized. The transcript has 3 exons. NCBI's taxonomy places the organism in Eukaryota, Metazoa, Chordata, Mammalia, Diprotodontia, Vombatidae. The record is from RefSeq and is a predicted model, not a curated record.